This 579-nucleotide ribosomal RNA is filed under the name Cystofilobasidium macerans. RNAcentral's name for it is "eukaryotic LSU rRNA". It matches the Rfam family "Eukaryotic large subunit ribosomal RNA", at positions 98 to 667 of the family's 3401-position model. The record is from RNAcentral. Lineage: Eukaryota; Fungi; Basidiomycota; Tremellomycetes; Cystofilobasidiales; Cystofilobasidiaceae.
GCGGGAAGAGCUCAAAUUUAAAAUCUGGCAGGCUACGCUUGUCCGAAUUGUAAUCUCGAGAAGUGUUUUCCGCGUUGGCCUGUGUACAAGUCCCUUGGAACAGGGCGUCAUAGAGGGUGAGAAUCCCGUCCUUGACACAGACACCCAAUGCUUUGUGAUACACUCUCAAUGAGUCGAGUUGUUUGGGAAUGCAGCUCAAAAUGGGUGGUAAAUUCCAUCUAAAGCUAAAUACUGGCGAGAGACCGAUAGCGAACAAGUACCGUGAGGGAAAGAUGAAAAGCACUUUGGAAAGAGAGUCAAACAGUACGUGAAAUUGUUGAAAGGGAAACGAUUGAAGUCAGUCGUGCCUGCCUAGUCUCAGCCUUUUGGUGUACUACUAGGUCGGCAGGUCAGCAUCAGUUUGGGAGGAUUAACAAGGGAGUUAGGAAUGUGGCAACCUCGGUUGUGUUAUAGCCUAGCUUCGCAUUGAUCUUGCUGGACUGAGGAACGCAGUGCGCCCGCAAGGGUUGGUCUUCGGACACAUUCGCACUUAGGAUGCUGGCAUAAUGGCUUUAAACGACCCGUCUUGAAACACGGACC